This is a long non-coding RNA of Syngnathoides biaculeatus (alligator pipefish), 285 nucleotides long. RefSeq lists it as uncharacterized. NCBI's taxonomy places the organism in Eukaryota, Metazoa, Chordata, Actinopteri, Syngnathiformes, Syngnathidae. The transcript has 3 exons. The record is from RefSeq and is a predicted model, not a curated record.
GGGAGGGACCUCAAUCACUACCCAUGAUGCUCUUCGUUUCCCUUCAAUAUUCAACCGUCACCAAAGCUAGCUAGCUAGCACAAGCUAGUGCAUGUUGAUACCUUUUGCGUGAGGUGUCCCUCAACGUUCUCUUCGCGAAGUCGCCCAACGCCAAAGACUCACCACAAAGCAGAAGAAGAAGCUGAUCUUGGCCACGUCGGUGAUGGUAAGCUUCCCCACCGUGCCCACCAUGGCCUCGUGGUCCUUGGCGGCCGGGUAGGACAUGCGGGACAGUUUGGCCUCCAG